GCCGCCCUAGCUCAAUUGGUAGAGCAGCCGUUUCGUAAUCGGCAGGUUGGGAGUUCGAGCCUCCCGGGUGGCUC
This 74-nucleotide transfer RNA is filed under the name Microbacterium phage Jacko. RNAcentral's name for it is "tRNA-Thr". It matches the Rfam family "tRNA". Rfam says of the family: Transfer RNA (tRNA) molecules are approximately 80 nucleotides in length. Their secondary structure includes four short double-helical elements and three loops (D, anti-codon, and T loops). Further hydrogen bonds mediate the characteristic L-shaped molecular structure. tRNAs have two regions of fundamental functional importance: the anti-codon, which is responsible for specific mRNA codon recognition, and the 3' end, to which the tRNAs corresponding amino acid is attached (by aminoacyl-tRNA synthetases). tRNAs cope with the degeneracy of the genetic code in two manners: having more than one tRNA (with a specific anti-codon) for a particular amino acid; and 'wobble' base-pairing, i.e. permitting non-standard base-pairing at the 3rd anti-codon position. Lineage: Duplodnaviria; Heunggongvirae; Uroviricota; Caudoviricetes. The record is from RNAcentral.